RNAcentral lists this ribosomal RNA (301 nucleotides) under uncultured bacterium. Its description in RNAcentral is "partial 16S ribosomal RNA". It matches the Rfam family "Bacterial small subunit ribosomal RNA", at positions 509 to 807 of the family's 1533-position model. The record is from RNAcentral.
CAGUAGCCGCGGUAACACGAAGGGUGCAAGCGUUAAUCGGAAUUAUUGGGCGUAAAGGGCGCGUAGGCGGUUUGACAAGUCUGAUGUGAAAUCUCUGGGCUCAACCCAGAGUCUGCAUCGGAAACUGUCGAGCUUGAGUAUGGGAGGGGUGAGUGGAAUUUCCGGUGUAGCGGUGAAAUGCGUAGAUAUCGGAAGGAACACCUGUGGCGAAAGCGGCUCACUGGACCAUUACUGACGCUGAGGCGCGAAAGCUAGGGGAGCAAACAGGAUUAGAUACCCCCGUAGUCCCUGUCUCUUAUAC